GGAGAGAAUUCGGCUGUGUUUGGUUAUGGAAGUGAAUGGAAAUGCAGAGGAGAUUCGGAGUACGUGUAAUUCCAUGAAAGUGCAAAAUCCUCUGCUCUUUUUUGGCGUUUCUUCUGAGUUCUUUGCCCGAGCAUGUUCUUCAACGUUCAAAAUUUAAACGUCCCUUUGGACGAGAUUCAAAACCUGAAAAUUGACAAUCCCGCCCAAAGAGAACACGAAACCCUAGCUCUUCAUCUCCUAUAAAUACCUUUUUAAAUCUCAGCCGAAGGGGAAGCUUAAAAGCUUGGAAUCCAAAAACAUAAAACAACAAAAAAAAAACUCAGUUCAUAUAAUACACUGCUUUUCUUUUAAUCUCAAGCCUUACAAUCUGUGGAAAACUUCUUAAUAUUUAGUCUUCACUAUACAUUCUCAACAACUAAGGAGUGGUAGAUCUGAGACGACCUUGCAAGCCCAGUUCACUGCCCCGCAAAAAGGAUCUUAGGCAAGUGCAUUUGGUAGUCGUCCCAGUGUGCAACCCUGUUAUCCUAAGGCAUAGUGGUGAGGUGCUCUCUGAGUCCUUUCUGCAGCACCGCGGUCUCUCUCUCUUUUGUAUUUACUUUCUGUCUACUCUCUUUCAGACAAUAGCCUAAUGUUUUGUAUAUUAUACUAGAUGCUCAUACACUUGUGACACCAGAUCUUGGAAACAUACCAGUAGACACUUUAUGGCUCUUGGAUAUUUAUUUCAUUGUAUUUGCACUUUUAUUA
Molecule: long non-coding RNA, 744 nt
Organism: Nicotiana attenuata
Lineage: Eukaryota; Viridiplantae; Streptophyta; Magnoliopsida; Solanales; Solanaceae
Exons: 3
Source: RefSeq, a predicted model, not a curated record